This 318-nucleotide unclassified non-coding RNA is filed under the name fungal sp. Its description in RNAcentral is "partial internal transcribed spacer region". The stretch from base 1 to 46 matches the Rfam family "Eukaryotic small subunit ribosomal RNA", at positions 1786 to 1831 of the family's 1831-position model. Lineage: Eukaryota; Fungi. The record is from RNAcentral.
AAGUCGUAACAAGGUAACCGUAGGUGAACCUGCGGUUGGAUCAUUAGUGGUUUUUACGUAGCGCUGUUGUAGUGUUUCUGGGGGGUGUUGGUCUUUGGUUUGGUUUUGGUGUCUUUUUGUUUGUCUGUUUUUGUGCAUUGCCUUGUGCUGCCUUGUGCAUUGCCUUGUGCGGUGUCUUGUGCGUUGCCGUGGCAGUACAAACGGAUCGACGGCAACACUCGGACCAGACCCAAGAACCCUUGCAGACAAUAGACGUCUUUGCUUGCUUUGAUGAAACCAAAUCAAAAACAACUUUUGACAACGGAUCUCUUGGUUCUG